CGUCCCAUCAGCUAGUUGGUAAGGUAAAGGCCUACCAAGGCGAUGACGGGUAGGGGACCUGAGAGGGUGGCCCCCCACAAUGGAACUGAAACACGGUCCAGACUCCUACGGGAGGCAGCAGUGAGGAAUAUUGCGCAAUGGGGGCAACCCUGACGCAGCAACGCCGCGUGAGUGAGGAAGGUUUUCGGAUUGUAAAGCUCUGUCGAGCGGAAAGAAGUGCAUGGUGGUUAAUAUCCAUCAUGCUUGACGGUACCGCUAAAGGAAGCACCGGCUAACUCCGUGCCAGCAGCCGCGGUAAUACGGGGGGUGCAAGCGUUGUUCGGAAUCAUUGGGCGUAAAGCGCGUGUAGGCGGCUGGACAAGUCAGAUGUGAAAGCCCUGGGCUUAACCCAGGAAGUGCAUUUGAAACUGUUCAGCUAGAGUAAGGGAGAGGAAAGUGGAAUUCCUGGUGUAGAGGUGAAAUUCGUAGAUAUCAGGAGGAACACCGGUGGCGAAGGCGACUUUCUGGCCCUAUACUGACGCUGAGACGCGAAAGCGUGGGUAGCAAACAGGAUUAGAUACCCUGGUAGUCCACGCUGUAAACGAUGUUCACUAGGUGUUGGGGGUAUUGACCCUUCCAGUGCCGCAGCUAACGCAUUAAGUGAACCGCCUGGGGAGUACGGUCGCAAGAUUAAAACUCAAAGGAAUUGACGG
This 692-nucleotide ribosomal RNA is filed under the name uncultured bacterium. Its description in RNAcentral is "bacterial SSU rRNA". It matches the Rfam family "Bacterial small subunit ribosomal RNA", at positions 234 to 916 of the family's 1533-position model. The record is from RNAcentral.